GUACACGCUGUGACUAGCAUAUCAAUAAGCGGAGGAAAAGAAACUAACAAGGAUUCCCCUAGUAACGGCGAGUGAAGCGGGAAGAGCUCAAAUUUGAAAUCUUAAAGGGUUUCCCUUUACGAAUUGUAGUUUAAAGAAGUGUUUUCUGUUGAGGUUUUGGUAAAAGUUCUUUGGAAUAGGACAUCAUAGAGGGUGAGAAUCCCGUAUUUGACCUUUACUUUCAACUUUGUGAGUACACUUUCAAAGAGUCGGAUUGUUUGGGAAUGCAGUCCAAAAUGGGUGGUAAAUUUCAUCUAAAGCUAAAUAUUGGCGAGAGAUCCGAUAGCGAACAAGUACCGUGAGGGAAAGAUGAAAAGAACUUUGAAAAGAGAGUUAAACAGUACGUGAAAUUGUCAAAAGGGAAGCGUUUGACACCAGUGUUGUUUUUCUGAAAAUCAAUUAAAGAACUGUUUAUGCUAAGCUGUUUAGACUUUAUCAGCUAUCUGUUUAGUUUUGAGCUUUUCUUUAAUGCACUUUUCAGUUAACAAGUCAACAUCAAUUUCUUUUGCUGUAAAAAAGCUUGAGGAAGGUGGCUUGAGAUUCGUCUUAAGUGUUUAUAGCCUCUUGCCUAUGCAGUCGGAGAGAUUGAGGUCUGCAGCGUAGAUCCUUCGGGGCUAAAUGCAUUUGUGCUAAGUUAUAGCAUUUUAUAGACAACUUGUUGACUAUGAUUUGUCUUGUAGCUUACUCGCUUAUGUUAUUUUACCUACGCUUAGGAUGUUGAAGUCAUCGUAUCGCGC
This 776-nucleotide ribosomal RNA is filed under the name uncultured Neocallimastigales. Its description in RNAcentral is "partial large subunit ribosomal RNA". It matches the Rfam family "Eukaryotic large subunit ribosomal RNA", at positions 22 to 645 of the family's 3401-position model. Lineage: Eukaryota; Fungi; Neocallimastigomycota; Neocallimastigomycetes; Neocallimastigales. The record is from RNAcentral.